Molecule: ribosomal RNA, 213 nt
Filed under: Alatospora sp.
Lineage: Eukaryota; Fungi; Ascomycota; Leotiomycetes; Leotiales; Leotiaceae
Description: partial large subunit ribosomal RNA
Source: RNAcentral
AAGCGCUUGCAAUCAGACUUGCAUGCAGUUGAUCAUCCGAUGUUCUCACCGGUGCACUCAAUUGCAUUCAGGCCAGCAUCGGUUCUGGUGGUUGGAUAAAGGCCUUGGGAAUGUAGCUUCUCUCGGGGAGUGUUAUAGCCCUCGGUGCAAUGCAGCCUACCAAGACCGAGGACCGCGCUUUGGCUAGGAUGCUGGCGUAAUGGUUGUAAGCGA